This 495-nucleotide ribosomal RNA is filed under the name uncultured bacterium. RNAcentral describes it as "partial 16S ribosomal RNA". It matches the Rfam family "Bacterial small subunit ribosomal RNA", at positions 28 to 507 of the family's 1533-position model. The record is from RNAcentral.
GACGAACGCUGGCGGCGUGCCUAAUACAUGCAAGUAGAACGCUGAAGGAGGAGCUUGCUUCUCUGGAUGAGUUGCGAACGGGUGAGUAACGCGUAGGUAACCUGCCUGGUAGCGGGGGAUAACUAUUGGAAACGAUAGCUAAUACCGCAUAAGAUUGACUAUUGCAUGAUAGUCAGUUAAAAGGUGCAAUUGCACCACUACCAGAUGGACCUGCGUUGUAUUAGCUAGUUGGUGGGGUAACGGCUCAUCAAGGCGACGAUACAUAGCCGACCUGAGAGGGUGAUCGGCCACACUGGGACUGAGACACGGCCCAGACUCCUACGGGAGGCAGCAGUAGGGAAUCUUCGGCAAUGGACGGAAGUCUGACCGAGCAACGCCGCGUGAGUGAAGAAGGUUUUCGGAUCGUAAAGCUCUGUUGUAAGAGAAGAACGAGUGUGAGAGUGGAAAGUUCACACUGUGACGGUAUCUUACCAGAAAGGGACGGCUAACUACGUG